Molecule: long non-coding RNA, 1242 nt
Filed under: Gadus morhua (Atlantic cod)
Lineage: Eukaryota; Metazoa; Chordata; Actinopteri; Gadiformes; Gadidae
Description: lncRNA (ENSGMOG00000035989.1)
Source: RNAcentral
CAAGAAUUUAAAUUUUAGCCUAAAGGCUACUCCUUCCACACUAAAGGCCGUGUUCACAUCUAGCGUUUUUUUUAAUCUGCCAGCGUUUAUUUUAUAUUAUAUUCCUAUGGAGCAGAGCGUUUCUGGAAAAAGUCACGGCCGUUUUUUUUUUUUUGUGUGGACGGGGCCUAAUAAGUUAUAAAGUAACCGUUCCUUAGAUGGGUAUCGUUAUCCAGUCACUUCUGGCGUGGGUGGAACUUUAGGAUUCCAAGAAUGAAUGUUAACAACUUAUUUUGUGACAAGCAGUUUAUUAUUUUCUAUGUUCAUUGCAAACCAAAAUUCAUGAAAUAAUUCUGCCCAUGCAAAACUCGCGUCGUUUAGUGACAGUUGUCGCUCAUAAUAGCUCCAUGCUGUCGCUUAUCUGCACUGAUCCCACCACUUUACUGUUCCCCCUAAAACGAAAAAAGGGUGUUCUGAAUUCCCCUAUAUAUAUAUAUUUGCUUGCGUGUUAAUUCGCUCAGGCAGAUAUUAAUGCGCCCUUACCACUAGGUGUGGGGUAGCUUCACAGUUUCACACUUACCAUUUUUUUCCUAAUUUCACGAAACCUUUCAAACUUUCAGGUUGGAAACCAUGGAGAGGACCCUAGUGUGGUCACGGGGAAGGCUGCUUGACAUCUCCUCAGCUGAUCUUAUAAUUCGAGAUGUUCGGGAGAUUAUAGCUGAAGUUCGGAGAUCUGUGCCUACCACUCCGGGACAACAAGGCUACCAGGCACCUCUCAUUUGGACCGGAGGUCGUGGUCCCCCACAGUUAAAAAUAUCACAGGAGCAACUGUGUUUUUUGAGGACCUGUGGUUUCACUGGGAAACAGAUGGCACAGAUUCUGGGUGUCUCUGUUCGUACACUGAGCCGUCGUUUAAGGCAGUUCAACCUGAGGCGCGCUGGGACAUUUUCCACCUGCUCAGAUGCUGCCUUGGAUGACCUCAUCAGGGAGACAGUGGCUGGGAAUGACCGCAUCGGCCCAGAGUCUGUGAGGGCGCAGCUGCGUGCGCAGCAAAUUAAUGUUCAGAGGAGCAGAGUGCGUUCAAGCAUGCUGAGGGUGAACCCUGCAGCAGCUGCAGCGCGAACAAUGUCCCAGGCUCUGCAAAGAAGGGCAUAUAGAGUUGCUGGCCCAAACUCCUUGUGGCACAUCGAUGGCAACCACAAGUUGAUAAGGUAGAUAUUAACAUUAGCAUACCAGACUUUGGUGUUCGCUUUAAAGGUGUGG